Long non-coding RNA from Orbicella faveolata, 1993 nucleotides. Lineage: Eukaryota; Metazoa; Cnidaria; Anthozoa; Scleractinia; Merulinidae. The record is from RefSeq and is a predicted model, not a curated record.
AAAUCCAGAAUCGACCAGUACUAAACAAACCUUCAAACACAUAAGAUUAAGCAGCUUUUCAACAAGAGGCACAAUCCGUUUUGAAAAAGGAGCAUUUUUCAGCUGUACUGAGCAGAGACUUUUCGUGCCGAGCCAAUCAACCGAACUUCUUCAAGUUUUACUGUUUCAACGUACCUCCAAAACUGAUGUUCUUCCACGUGAGCUUCGCUUUGGUUUUACUCUCCAUCAGUGCUUUAACACCGAGGGGUUUGGAACAGAAGAGGAACAAAAUGUGUGUGUUGGACAUGGAUGAAAAAGGAAAUCUUUACCUUUACAAGUUUGCACUACUCUGCAAGAACGAGAUUAUCAAGCGACUGAUCAAUGGAUCUUAUCACCUUGCAGAACCGAGUGACGGACCGAGUACAACAGGUAAUUCAUUGAUAAAACUCUUUUCAUGGCAUGAAUGUGAUCUUCAAUGCAAGCAGCUUACUCUUGAAAUGAUUGUUUCAUAUUUUUUGCUAAUGUAUUAUUAAGUUAUGAUGAAAUAAUUCAUAGAUUUUUCAUUGAAUAUUUUCUGUGGGUCACCUGCAGGAAGGCUUAGUCAUUUAUCUCUGAGUCCUUUUCCGACUGAGAUCCAGUUUGCGACAAAAAUCUUGUAAAAUUAAGAAGUGAAUUUAAGGCUUUAGUUCUUGAUUUUCUUUCUCAUCGGCCUCAGCAGCCCAUGCAUGUUGACACUUUUGACGCUCGUCAGCAUUUGAGGAGAGUUACCAAUCAUUUUUCCAGGAUCUCUCUUUUUCCUACCUCCCGGAAGAGGAGGGAUCCUGGGAACAAGGUUCGAAUAUUGCCGGGUGAUUAUAACUCAGUCUUUCUUGGCAAACGCUUCCCGUCGUCUUGAAAAAGCCUGAAACACUAGAUAUUGACUUGAUAAAAAUAAUUGUUUGUCAUGGAUAAACUCAGCUAACCUUGCUGGCUGGAUAAGUUCCAGUGCAAUACAAUACUUACAGACUUAUUUCGCAAAUGGCACCAGGAAAGCACGUGAUGUGAAUCAUGAGACAAAACGCCAUGUCUGCCCUUUAACGCCCAGGAUCGUUAUUUACCGCCGUCUGAUUGGGUAAACCUCCGAACUAAUAAAUGCCGGUGUCUCGUGGCGGUUCUAUGCUGCCAGCCAUUCAGGAAUAUUGUUGAUGAUGACUUCAGUUUUAGUCCGCUUCAUCAAGCGAACUGCGUUGGGACGUCCCAAACACUUCCAGAAGUUCAGUAUAGCUUAUAGAGUCGGCCACCCUGAGUAUUUGUAACUAAAAAUGCAAAAAUUUUUCCUAUUUUUAAAGCUGAAGAUAACAAUAAUGCAAACAAUUAUAGGCGUAUUUCUUUGCUGUCUAACUUUAAUAGGAUCUUCGAAAAAUUGGCCUACUCCAGAUUGGAAUCUUUCAUUGAGCAAAAUAAUAUACUUUCUCCAUCUCAGUACGGUUUCCGCAAAGCGCUUUCAACUUAGUAUGCAAUUCUUGACACUGUUAGUACAAUAAAGGAAAACAUGGACAAGCGCUUGUUCUCUUGUGGUGUAUUUAUUGACAUGAAAAAUUCUUUUGAUACAGUCGAUCAUAAAAUUCUUUUGCACAAGUUAGAUCACUAUGGUUUUCGUGGUGUUAUAAAUAAGUGGUUCUCAUCUUACUUGGAUGGUCGAACUCAAACUACGCAAAUUGGCUCUCUGAUAUAUCUGAACGGAAAAAUUCAAUACCACUUGUGGUGUACCGAAAGGCUCAGUCCUAGGCCUAUUACUUCUCCUAAUCUAUGUCAACGAUAUCCAAGAAUCCUCUGACAAGCUCGAACUUUUUUUAUUUGCUGACGACACGAAUGCCGUAUAUGCCGACAAAAAUCUUAAGUCCCUUGAGUCGACUGUAGAUCAAUAACUCUGCAAGUUGUUCGAUUGGCUAACAGCUAAUAAAUUAACCAUAAAUAUGAAAAAAAAAUUGUUAUCUUUAGACCAGCUCAGAGAAAACUUACUUAUCAUCCCAAA